AUAUCAAUAAGCGGAGGAAAAGAAACUAACAAGGAUUCCCCUAGUAACUGCGAGUGAAGCGGGAAAAGCUCAAAUUUAAAAUCUGGCGGUCCUUGGCCGUCCGAGUUGUAAUUUAGAGAAGCGUCUUCCGCGCCGGACCGUGCACAAGUCUCCUGGAAUGGAGCGUCGUAGAGGGUGAGAAUCCCGUCUUUGGCACGGACACCCGGUGCUUCUGUGAUGCGCUCUCGAAGAGUCGAGUUGUUUGGGAAUGCAGCUCAAAAUGGGUGGUGAACUCCAUCUAAAGCUAAAUAUUGGCGAGAGACCGAUAGCGAACAAGUACCGUGAGGGAAAGAUGAAAAGCACUUUGGAAAGAGAGUGAAACAGUACGUGAAAUUGUUGAAAGGGAAACGCUUGAAGUCAGUCGCGUUGACCGAGACUCAGCCUUGCCUCGGCUUGGUGUACUUCUCGGCUCGACGGGUCAGCGUCGAUUUUGCCCCUCGGAUAAUGGCAAGGGAAAGGUGGCACCUUUGCGGGUGUGUUAUAGUCUCCUGUCGCAUGUGAGGGGUGAGAUCGAGGAACUCAGCGCGCGCCUCUGGUGUCGGGGCUUUGGCCCACGUAACGCGCUUAGGACGCUGGCGUAAUGGCUUUAAACGA
Molecule: ribosomal RNA, 633 nt
Filed under: uncultured fungus
Lineage: Eukaryota; Fungi
Description: eukaryotic LSU rRNA
Rfam family: Eukaryotic large subunit ribosomal RNA
Source: RNAcentral